CGAAAGCCUGACGGAGCAACGCCGCGUGUGGGAAGAAGGCUCUUGGGCUGUCAACCACUUUUCUCAGGGAAGAAGUCCUGACGGUACCUGAGGAAUCAGCCUCGGCUAACUCCGUGCCAGCAGCCGCGGUAAUACGGAGGAGGCAAGCGUUAUCCGGAAUUACUGGGCGUAAAGCGUUCGUAGGGGGCUCGUCAAGUCUGCUGUCAAAGACCGGAGCUCAACUCCGGGCAGGCAGUGGAAACUGGGGAGCUAGAGGGCGGUAGGGGCAGAAGGAAUUCCCGGUGUAGCGGUGAAAUGCGUAGAUAUCGGGAAGAACACCAGAGGCGAAAGCGUUCUGCUGGGCCGCGCCUGACCCUGAGGGACGAAAGCCAGGGGAGCG
This 379-nucleotide ribosomal RNA is filed under the name uncultured cyanobacterium. Its description in RNAcentral is "bacterial SSU rRNA". It matches the Rfam family "Bacterial small subunit ribosomal RNA", at positions 376 to 770 of the family's 1533-position model. Lineage: Bacteria; Bacillati; Cyanobacteriota. The record is from RNAcentral.